GGGCGCAUAACUCAGCGGUAGAGUGCCAUCCUCACACGGUGGAAGUCGUAGGUUCAAAUCCUACUGCGCCCACCA
RNAcentral lists this transfer RNA (75 nucleotides) under Terriglobia bacterium. RNAcentral's name for it is "tRNA-Val". It matches the Rfam family "tRNA". Rfam says of the family: Transfer RNA (tRNA) molecules are approximately 80 nucleotides in length. Their secondary structure includes four short double-helical elements and three loops (D, anti-codon, and T loops). Lineage: Bacteria; Pseudomonadati; Acidobacteriota; Terriglobia. RNAcentral also lists the same sequence under 2 other names. The record is from RNAcentral.